UGAGUUUGAUCAUGGCUCAAAUUGAACGCUGGCGGCAGGCUUAACACAUGCAAGUCGAGCGGGGGAAGGUAGCUUGCUACCGGACCUAGCGGCGGACGGGUGAGUAAUGCUUAGGAAUCUGCCUAUUAGUGGGGGACAACAUCUCGAAAGGGAUGCUAAUACCGCAUACGUCCUACGGGAGAAAGCAGGGGAUCUUCGGACCUUGCGCUAAUAGAUGAGCCUAAGUCGGAUUAGCUAGUUGGUGGGGUAAAGGCCUACCAAGGCGACGAUCUGUAGCGGGUCUGAGAGGAUGAUCCGCCACACUGGGACUGAGACACGGCCCAGACUCCUACGGGAGGCAGCAGUGGGGAAUAUUGGACAAUGGGGGGAACCCUGAUCCAGCCAUGCCGCGUGUGUGAAGAAGGCCUUAUGG
This 412-nucleotide ribosomal RNA is filed under the name bacterium m33. Its description in RNAcentral is "bacterial SSU rRNA". It matches the Rfam family "Bacterial small subunit ribosomal RNA", at positions 1 to 422 of the family's 1533-position model. The record is from RNAcentral.